AGAGUUUGAUCCUGGCUCAGAGCGAACGUUGGCGGCGGGCCUAACACAUGCAAGUCGAACGAAAAGGCUCCUUCAGGAGUUAUUGAAGUGGCCCACGGGUGAGGAACGCGUAAGUAAUCUACCCUUUGGCCUUCGACGACAUUCCGAAAGGAAUGCUAAUACCGCGUGCCACCACGCUCACUACGGUGAAAGCGGUUAAAGGUGCCUCAAAGCACCACCAGAGGAUGAGCCUGCGUCCCAUCAGCUUGUUGGUAAGGUAAUGGCUUACCAAGGCGAAGACCUGUACCUGGUCUGAGAGGAUGAUCAGCCACACUGACACUGGAACACGAGCCAGACUCCUACGGGAGGCAGCAAUGAGGAAUAUUGGGGCAAUGGGCGAAAGCCUGACCCAGCCACUCCACGAGUGUGAUGAAAGCCUUCGGGUCGUAAAGCACUGUGGAGAGAGACGAACAUGUUCAGGAGGAAAUGCCUGCGUACUGACGGUACCUCCUUAGAAAGCUCCGGCUAAGUCUGUGCCAGCAGCCGCGGUAAUACACAGGGUGCGAACGUUGCUCGGAUUUACUGGGCGUAAAGCGCGUGUAGGCGGACUCGCAAGUCGAUUGUGAGAUCCUUGGGCUUAACCUAGCAACUGAUUCCGCCACUGCUUGUCUUGAGUAAUGUAGAGGGUGGCGGAGUUCCCGGUGUAGAUGUGAAAUUCGUAGUAUAGUGAAAACAUCAGUGUCGAGGGGGCCAUCUGGACAUUACUGACGAUGAGACGUGAAAGCGUGGGAGCAAACAGGAUUAGAUACCUGGUAGUACACGCUGUCCACGAUGAGAACUAGGUGCAGCGGAUAUUGACCUCUGCUGUGCUUUAGCUAACGCGUUAAGUUCUCCGCCUGGGGAGUACGGCCGCAAGGGAAAAACUCAAAGGAAUUGACGGGUCACCGCACAAGCAGUGGAGCAUCUCAUUUAAUUCGAAGCAACGCGCAGAACCUUACCAGGGGUAGACCAUUUAAGAACCUGAACGAAAGUUUGUGGUCAUCGCAAGAGAACUUAGCUUCAGGUGCUGCAUCGCAGUUGUCACCUCGCGUUGUGAGAUGUUGGUUUAAGUCCCGCAACGAGCGCAACCCUUAUCGUUAGUUCCCAUCAUUUAGUUGGCCACUCAAAGGAGACGGCCGGGGUCAACCCGGAGGAAGGUGGGGAUGAAGUCAAGUCGUCAUGGCCUCUAUUUCGUGGGGUCCACACGUGUUACAAUGGUCGGUACAAUGCGCUGUGAAGCCACGAGGAGGAGAUAAUCGCAAAAAGCCGGCCUCAGUAAAGAUUGCAUUAUUCAAGUUGAGUGCAUGAAGUUGGAAUUCAUGGUAAUCGAUGAUCAGCAGGCAGCGCAGAAUACGUUCCCGGGCCUUGUACACACCGCCUGUCACACCAUGGGAGUGGAGUGCUCCAGAAGCCGCCACCAUAACCCGCAAGGGACACACAUCCCCAAGGAGUGUUUGGUAACUGGGGUGAAGUCGUAACAAGGUAACC
RNAcentral lists this ribosomal RNA (1506 nucleotides) under uncultured bacterium. RNAcentral describes it as "16S ribosomal RNA". It matches the Rfam family "Bacterial small subunit ribosomal RNA". The record is from RNAcentral.